AUUUAUGAUGAAUGCAUUCAUAUAUAUAUAUAUUAAUUAUAUAAUGUAUUUCCAUUGCUUCUCUUAUUGACCUCCUAUUUAUAGGGUCCUGUCCUAGAUUUCAGGGAACGAUGAGGGAGAGAGAGGAGAAGGCAAAUAAAACAUAAUCCCUGCCCUUAAUAAAUGUAUAAUCCAGUUGGGAAGGGCCCAAUACAGAAAUAAUUGGAAUGCAAGAUUGAGUUUCAGAGAAUGGGAUGAGUAAUGUGGAGAAAAUGUUCACUGGAGGAAGAGCUCACUCCUGGCUGAGAAGAUCCUAGUCUUACUGACAACUCAAAGGAGCUUGCCAUAUUCCUUUGAUGUCCUUGGAAGUUCCAGUGUCUUCCAAGAAGUGAUGAAGACACUGAAAAGGGAAGAGGCAUGCCCAGGAUGAUGCAGCAAAUCAGUGGCAGAGUGGAUUUUUGAACUCAUGAUUCUUAAUCUACGUUCUCAUCUCUAUUCUGUUAUUUACUUACUGCUUUUUACCAAAUACCUAAAAAAAUAAUAAAAAAGAAAGAGUAACAAUCCUAUGGGUGAAA
RNAcentral lists this long non-coding RNA (554 nucleotides) under Monodelphis domestica (gray short-tailed opossum). RNAcentral's name for it is "lncRNA (ENSMODG00000044596.1)". Lineage: Eukaryota; Metazoa; Chordata; Mammalia; Didelphimorphia; Didelphidae. The record is from RNAcentral.